GGUCAAAUAUAUUAAGGCUUACGGUGGAUACCUAGGCAUUCAGAGACGAUGAAGGGCGUGGAUACCAGCGAAAUGCUUCGGGGAAUUGGAAACAAGUUUUGAUCCGGAGAUUCCCGAAUAGGGCAACCUAUAAAACUGCUUAUUGAAUUCAUAGAUAAGUAAGAGAUAACCUGCUGAAUUGAAACAUCUUAGUAAGCAGAGGAAAAGAAAGCAAACGCGAUUUCCUGAGUAGCGGCGAGCGAAAUGGAAACAGCCUAAUCACUAGAAAAAAGAUUAUUAAAUGAAGCAGCUGAAUCCUGCACCAAAGAUGGUGAAAGUCCAGUAGUUGAAAAUAUCGAAAAUGAUUUGAGUAGCAUGGGACACGUGAAAUCCCGUGUGAAGAUGCGAGGACCACCUCGUAAGGCUAAAUACUCCUGAAUGACCGAUAGCGAAAUAGUACCGUGAGGGAAAGGUGAAACAGAACCCCUGUAGGGGAGUGAAAAAGAACAUGAAACCGUAAGCUGACAAUCAGUGGGAGCGAAAGUGACCGCGUGCCUGUUGAAGAAUGAGCCGGCGACUUAUAAGCAGUGGCUUGGUUAAGGUUUAAAACUGGAGCCAAAGCGAAAGCGAGUCUGAAAAGGGCGCUUGUCACUUCUUAUGGACCCGAACCCGAGUGAUCUAACCAUGGCCAGGAUGAAUCUUGGGUAACACCAAGUGGAAGACCGAACCGACUGAUGUUGAAAAAUCAGCGGAUGAGUUGUGGUUAGAGGUGAAAUUCCAGUCGAACUCGGAGCUAGCUGGAUCUCCUCGAAAUGUGUUGAGGCGCAGCGGUUGAUGAUGGGUUAUUUAGGGGUAAAGCACUGUUUCGGUGCGGGCUGCGAAAGCGGUACCAAAUCGUCGCAAACUAAGAAUACUAAAUAUGCUUUCCAUCAACCAGUAAGACAGUGGGGGAUAAGCUUCAUUGUCAAAAGGGAAACAGCCCAGAUCACCAGCUAAGGCCCCAAAGUGGUUGCUAAGUGGCAAAGGAGGUGAGAAUGCAAAGACAACCAGAAGGUUUGCUUAGAAGCAGCCAUCCUUGAAAGAGUGCGUAAUAGCUCACUGGUAGAGCGUUCUUGCGCCGAAAAUGAACGGGACUAAGUGACCCGCCGAAGCUGUGGGAUUUUUUUACCUUGUGCUAAAAUUGUUUUAUAACUCUUAAGCAAUAUAAAAACAAUACAAUAAAAUCGGUAGAGGAGCGUUCCGCUGUAGGGUGAAGCAUAAGCGUGAGCUUGUGUGGACGACGCGGAAGUGAGAAUGUCGGCUUGAGUAACGAAAACAUUGGUGAGAAUCCAAUGCCCCGAAAACCUAAGGGUUCCUCCACAAGGCUCGUCCAUGGGGGGUUAGUCAGGACCUAAGAUGAGGUCGAAAGGCGUAGUCGAUGGAAAACAGGUCAACAUUCCUGUACUUAUUUAAAUUUGAUAAAGAAGGACGAAGAAGGCGGCGGUUAGCUUUAUAUUGGUAUUGAAGUAUAAAUGUUCAACUUGUUGAGAGGUCGAAGAAAAACUUCCUUGAGAGAAGACAUUAUAUGACAGAUUUAUAAUUAACUUGUUAGUUGUAAUUUUGUUUAACCUUAGUCAUACUUCCAAGAAAAGCUCUAAUUAUUUUACAAUUUAAAUAACCUGUACCCUAAACCGACACAGGUAGGUAGGUAGAGAAUACUAAGGGGCGCGAGAUAACUCUCUCUAAGGAACUCGGCAAAAUGGCCCCGUAACUUCGGGAGAAGGGGUGCGAGGUAAAACUCGUCGCAGUGACCAGGCCCAGGCGACUGUUUAUCAAAAACACAGGUCUCCGCAAAGUCGUAAGACAACGUAUGGGGGCUGACGCCUGCCCAGUGCCGGAAGGUAAAAGAAGUUGGUUAUUUUUCGGAAGAAGCUGACGACUGAAGCCCCGGUGAACGGCGGCUGUAACUCUGACAGUCCUAAGGUAGCGAAAUUCCUUGCCAAGUAAGUUUUGGCCCGCACGAAAGGCGUAACGAUCUGGGCACUGUCUCGGAGAGAGGCUCGGUGAAAUAGAAAUGUCUGUGAAGAUGCGGACUACUUAUACCAGGACAGAAAGACCCUAUGAAGCUUGACUGUAGCUUGGAAUUGGGUUUGGGCUCUUUUUGCGCAGUCUAGGUGGGAGGCGUUGAUAAUAGGUUUUCGGACCUAUUGGAGCCAUCAGUGAGAGACCACUCUGAAAGAGCUAAAAUCCUAAUAGGACUCCUUGAAUCAGGAUCCUUGACAGUUUCAGGCGGACAGUUUGUCUGGGGCGGAUGCCUCCUAAAAGGUAACGGAGGCGUGCAAAGGUUCCCUCAGGCUGGACGGAAAUCAGCUGUAGAGUGUAAAGGUAGAAGGGAGCUUGACUGCAAGACCAACAAGUCGAGCAGGGGCGAAAGCCGGCCUUAGUGAUCCGACGGUACCGAGUGGAAGGGCCGUCGCUCAACGGAUAAAAGUUACUCUAGGGAUAACAGGCUGAUCUCCCCCAAGAGUUCACAUCGACGGGGAGGUUUGGCACCUCGAUGUCGGCUCAUCGCAACCUGGGGCUGUAGUCGGUCCCAAGGGUUGGGCUGUUCGCCCAUGAAAGCGGUACGUGAGCUGGGUUCAGAACGUAGAUUCACUGCGUUGAUUCAUAGUAAUAUGAAUCUAGCAUCGGCUUAUAUCGGUGAAACCUUCUUUAGUUGAACUGGCUAAAAUGGUAAUACCGAGGGAAGAAUAAACACAGUUGUAAUAUUGUUAAAUUUUAAAACAAAAUUAAUUAAACAAGUAACCAAGGUUCAAAAUGAUCCACUAACUUUUUUAAAGUUAUGUAAAGAAGUUGAUCGCUUUAUAUUAUUGAAUGAUUCUAAAAAGCGUCAAAUUACUAAAUCAGUACGGUCUGACUUUGAGUUAACAACUGAUUUAUUCCCUGUAGAGACUGAAACUUAUUAAUUWAAGUUCGAUGAUUUAAGAGGUUUUUUAAAUCAUAAUACGCCGGCUCCUUAAAUAAAGGAUGAAGAUAUAGUCCAUGCCUUUUGGGAACAUUAGGAUUUAACAUGCGUGAGACAGUUCGGUCCAUAUCCGGUAUAAGCGUAAGAGCAUUGAGAGGAGCUCAACAUUGUACGAGAGGACCCGAAGGACGUACCGAUGGUGUACCAGUUCUUGUGCCAACAGGAAACGCUGGGUAGCUAUGUACGGAGUGGAUAAUCGCUGAAAGCAUCUAA
This 3196-nucleotide ribosomal RNA is filed under the name Desmochloris halophila. RNAcentral describes it as "bacterial LSU rRNA". It matches the Rfam family "Bacterial large subunit ribosomal RNA". The record is from RNAcentral. Lineage: Eukaryota; Viridiplantae; Chlorophyta; Ulvophyceae; Chlorocystidales; Chlorocystidaceae.